GACGAACGCUGGCGGCGUGCCUAACACAUGCAAGUCGAACGGGGCACCUUCGGGUGCUUAGUGGCGAACGGGUGAGUAACGCGUGAGAAACCUGCCUUUCAGUGGGGGACAACAGUUGGAAACGACUGCUAAUACCGCAUAAUGUUAUUUGAGGGCAUCCUCGGAUAACCAAAGCUUAAUGUGCUGAAAGAUGGUCUCGCGUCUGAUUAGCCAGAUGGCGGGGUAACGGCCACCAUGGCGACGAUCAGUAGCCGGUCUGAGAGGAUGAACGGCCACAUUGGGACUGAGAUACGGCCCAG
RNAcentral lists this ribosomal RNA (299 nucleotides) under uncultured bacterium. RNAcentral's name for it is "partial 16S ribosomal RNA". It matches the Rfam family "Bacterial small subunit ribosomal RNA", at positions 28 to 334 of the family's 1533-position model. The record is from RNAcentral.